Molecule: ribosomal RNA, 118 nt
Filed under: Paramormyrops kingsleyae
Lineage: Eukaryota; Metazoa; Chordata; Actinopteri; Osteoglossiformes; Mormyridae
Source: RNAcentral
GCUUAUGGCUAUGCAACACUGAACAAGCCCAAUCUCAUCUGAUCUCAAAAGCUAAGCAAAGUCAGGCCUGAUAGAAUUCAUAUGGAAGGCUGUCUGGGAGUGCCAGGUGAUGUAGGCC